AUUGAACGCUGGCGGCAUGCCUUACACAUGCAAGUCGAACGGUAACAGGUCUUCGGAUGCUGACGAGUGGCGAACGGGUGAGUAAUACAUCGGAACGUGCCUAGUAGUGGGGGAUAACUACUCGAAAGAGUGGCUAAUACCGCAUGAGAUCUACGGAUGAAAGCAGGGGAUCGCAAGAACUUGUGCUACUAGAGCGGCCGAUGGCAGAUUAGGUAGUGGGUGGGAUAAAAGCUUACCAAGCCGACGAUUUGGAGCGGGUCUGAGAGGACGAUCAGCCACACGGGGACUGAGAAACGGACCAGACUCCUCCGGGAGGCAGCAGUGGGGAAUUUUGGACAAUGGGCGCAAGCCUGAUCAAGCAAUGCCGCGUGCAGGAUGAAGGCCUUCGGGUUGUAAACUGCUUUUUUACGGAACGAAAAGCCCCGGGUUAAUACCCUGGGGUCAUGACGGUACCGUAAGAAUAAGCACCGGCUAACUACGUGCCAGCAGCCGCAGUAA
This 498-nucleotide ribosomal RNA is filed under the name uncultured bacterium. Its description in RNAcentral is "partial 16S ribosomal RNA". It matches the Rfam family "Bacterial small subunit ribosomal RNA", at positions 30 to 523 of the family's 1533-position model. The record is from RNAcentral.